RNAcentral lists this transfer RNA (77 nucleotides) under Candidatus Dadabacteria bacterium. RNAcentral's name for it is "tRNA-Ala". It matches the Rfam family "tRNA". From Rfam's summary of the family: Transfer RNA (tRNA) molecules are approximately 80 nucleotides in length. The record is from RNAcentral. Lineage: Bacteria; Pseudomonadati; Thermodesulfobacteriota; Candidatus Dadabacteria.
GGGGCCGUAGCUCAGCCCGGGAGAGCGCAUGAAUCGCACUCAUGAGGUCGUGGGUUCAAAUCCCAUCGGCUCCACCA